GACGAACGCUGGCGGCGUGCUUAACACAUGCAAGUCGAACGGAAAGGCCCCUUCGGGGGUGCUCGAGUGGCGAGCGGGUGAGUAACACGUGGGUGAUCUGCCCUGCACUUUGGGAUAAGCCUGGGAAACUGGGUCUAAUACCGGAUAGGACCACGGGAUGCAUGUCCUGUGGUGGAAAGCUUUUGCGGGGUGGGAUGGGCCCGCGGCCUAUCAGCUUGUUGGUGGGGUGAUGGCCUACCAAGGCGACGACGGGUAGCCGGCCUGAGAGGGUGUCCGGCCACACUGGGACUGAGAUACGGCCCAGACUCCUACGGGAGGCAGCAGUGGGGAAUAUUGCACAAUGGGCGCAAGCCUGAUGCAGCGACGCCGCGUGAGGGAUGACGGCCUUCGGGUUGUAAACCUCUUUCAACGCCGACGAAGGGCAACUGACGGUAGGCGUAGAAGAAGCACCGGCCAACUACGUGCCAGCAGCAGCCGCGG
This 480-nucleotide ribosomal RNA is filed under the name uncultured bacterium. Its description in RNAcentral is "partial 16S ribosomal RNA". It matches the Rfam family "Bacterial small subunit ribosomal RNA", at positions 28 to 523 of the family's 1533-position model. The record is from RNAcentral.